RNAcentral lists this non-coding RNA (53 nucleotides) under unclassified sequences. RNAcentral's name for it is "chromate-resist RNA". It matches the Rfam family "chrB-b RNA". The record is from RNAcentral.
UCGGGCUCCCCAGCAGUCGCCCGGCUUCUUUCAGGCAUCCGCCCAAGCACUGC